UGGGGAAUAUUGCGCAAUGGGCGGAAGCCUGACGCAGCGACGCCGCGUGGGGGAUGACGGCCUUCGGGUUGUAAACCUCUUUCGACCGGGACGAAGCGUGAGUGACGGUACCGGUAGAAGAAGCACCGGCCAACUACGUGCCAGCAGCCGCGGUAAUACGUAGGGUGCGAGCGUUGUCCGGAAUUAUUGGGCGUAAAGAGCUCGUAGGCGGUGUGUCGCGUCGAUCGUGAAAACGUACAGCUUAACUGUGCGCGUGCGGUCGAUACGGGCAUCACUUGAGUUCGGCAGGGGAGACUGGAAUUCCUGGUGUAGCGGUGAAAUGCGCAGAUAUCAGGAGGAACACCGGUGGCGAAGGCGGGUCUCUGGGCCGAUACUGACGCUGAGGAGCGAAAGCGUGGGGAGCGAACAGGAUUAGAUACCCCCGUAGUCC
This 430-nucleotide ribosomal RNA is filed under the name uncultured bacterium. Its description in RNAcentral is "bacterial SSU rRNA". It matches the Rfam family "Bacterial small subunit ribosomal RNA", at positions 355 to 796 of the family's 1533-position model. The record is from RNAcentral.